RNAcentral lists this ribosomal RNA (109 nucleotides) under Mus pahari (shrew mouse). Lineage: Eukaryota; Metazoa; Chordata; Mammalia; Rodentia; Muridae. The record is from RNAcentral.
CAAUAGCCAUACCACAUUGAACACCCUUAAUCUCAUCUGACCCCAGAAGUUGAGCAUGGAUGGGCCUGGUUAAUAUGUGGAUAGGAGACCAACUGGAAUUACUGGGUGG